Molecule: long non-coding RNA, 1477 nt
Organism: Cyprinus carpio (common carp)
Lineage: Eukaryota; Metazoa; Chordata; Actinopteri; Cypriniformes; Cyprinidae
Source: Ensembl
GCUUUCUCCACAUAAUUCAUAUGCACACUGGCUUCGUUCACUGCCAGCUAAAUGUUAAACUGAAACCUCACUUACCUUUAAAUGCUACUCCACUACUCACAGUCAUAAAUAUUUCAUACUUAAAACUACAUGAAACUCUUUUAGGUUGGAUAAUUCUACAUUGCUGCUGGUCCCAAGAGUGCUGUUCUCCACCCAUGUAGUCUGAAGUGUUAUGUAGAAUUGGGCAUCAUCUGGAUGGACCUGCCUGUUUUCACACCUGCCUGGUGGACUGAUCUGAGGACAGAGAACAGAGUGAAAUAUAUGCAGUUCAAUAGUGUAGCCACUGUCAGAAAAUAUACGAAUGGUGCAAAGAUAGACAAGAGCAUCCCAAUUUACUACAGGAUACUGCUUCAGUCGACAACAAAUGUUCUCAAAUUAAUUUAGAUAUGUAAUACAGUGACUCUAGUCUGUACCAAUCCUGCACCAUAUCAGCAUUAAUCCACUUUAAAAUGAAGACAGGGUGACACUGAUCAUUUCAAGUCUGUUAAGAAAUGAAUGAAACCUCUUUGUCAUCAAAUUGUCAAAAGAGCAAAAAAAGUACCACAAUGACUACGUUUAUUCAACAUAAUUGGAAUAGACAUACAAGUCAAAUAUACAGGGCUGCUAAUGGCUCAGUAAAUAUGGCAAAGAGUAGAAGAGGGGGACUUCUGCCGGGUCCGGCCUUGUGAUGACAGCACAGUAAAAGGGUACCUUACUUAGCCCCAGUCAUUGAUUCAGAGUACAAUAAAUGUGUAUUAAUAUAUGGAAAUUUGUUAUUGUAACUAAACAGUGGGUUUAAAAUGCAAAGUCAACAAAACCGCAAAGGAAACAGUAAAAUAACUGAUGCCUUCAAGCCUAGUCAAGCGGCAAAUGCUAACCAGGAUGUUUUCAGCAACUCAACAACCUCUGAAAUACUCAACGAAAUGUGAGGCAUGAGGAAGGAAAUAAACGAGACAUUUGGAAAACUGGGAGAAUCGAGCAAGCAAAUAAAUGAAGGGAUAAAAAUACUUGAAAAACAAAUGGACGAAUCCAAAGAAAGGUUGCUGAAACAACAGAUUUUACACAAAGCUCGGGCUAUUAAGGAUUUGCAGUUGAAUGGAAAACGCAUCGCACGGGAUCGUGAUUAUUACAGUACUGGAAGUUAGUUACAAACAAUGUAUAAGAAAGAAUGUAAUAUCAAGUUCAAGUCAGAGAUACUGAAAGUUUAGCUUGAAGAUGGAGAAGUGAGCUACAAUUCUGCUUGUGAGGCAGCGGAAAAUCUUCAACAUCUAGGGAUCUGAAUGAAACUUUCAGAGGACGAGAUGCGAGAAAAAGACUUAUGCAAGCUGAAUUUAUAGCAGCGGAAAUGCAAGGACAAUUUUCAACAGCUCUGGUUGGAGAUAUUGAAUCUCUCACAAAAUGACUGAUUAAAAUAAUCUCAGGCAAGUAAGUUGAACAGAAUGAUGAAAAUGAGAAUGAG